UUAACUCUAACAGAAAAGAAAUUUCCCAACAAAACUUUGCCCCUCUUCUCUCUCUUUUGAUUUCUGCUUCAAGAUGACCAUACCAUAAUUCUCUCUCAUAUUCUCUCUCUUUUUCAUCAACAACAACAAUCUCUCUUCUCUCUCUGGUCUUCAAACCCAGCACGGCCGAAAUUCACCGUUAAAUGGAAAACAAAGUGAAACCCUUCUCAUCUUCCAUUGUAAUAUCUCUUUCACUCCUCAUUUUAUUCGUUCUCUCCAUCUCUCAUUAGCAUAGGGUUCAAUCCCUCUCAUUCUCCAAACACAUGAAAGAAGAUGAAUAGGGUUUCAGAAACCAGUUUGAUUUUGGUUAUCAAUUGUGAAAAGUUUGAGUUAUCCAACAUUGAACCAUCAACCACUUUCCUUAGUUCUUGCGCACUCAAACCCGAUUCAAGUGUUUCAAACUCUAUUGUGGUGAAGGUUUAGGGGCAAUCAUUUGAAGCAAAUGAAUUACUGGUGUGUCAAGGCAUAAAGAGACAUCAAGCAAUUUUGUAGUGCUUUGAAGUUUAAAGUGCAAGGCAUGAACUUCGUCUAAGGUCUUAGAUUAGACACAACUACUAUGUUUGGUAAUACUUCAAGAAUCAAAUGCUAUAUGAUGCAUAAGGAUUCUCAAGGAUUUUAUGGAAUUGUUUUCCUCUAAUGAGAAACAUGGUUCAACAUAUUCUUCAACUACAAUGAAGGAUUUCUAUACUUCUGCGAUGGACGCCGCUGAUGAUUCCACUGAUGAAAAAGACUACAAGGAUAAAAUCAACCCAUUCAUACAAAAUUUUACAUAAUCAUUGGCGGUGGAACCUGCCGGAGGCAAAUUAAUCAUCGACGAUAUUGACAUAUACGCCUUAGGCAAAAUUCUGUUAUUCUGUAUCAUUAUUGGGUUGAUAACUAUAAUGUCCUUCUAUUAUCUUCUCAUAUCAGUAUGUGAAAUAAUGGUUGCAGGUGGCACAAGUUUUAUCAUAGGACAUAAAUCUUAAUUAGUAUGUGAAAUAAUGUGUUUGUUACUUUUUAGUUU
Molecule: long non-coding RNA, 1042 nt
Organism: Vicia villosa (hairy vetch)
Lineage: Eukaryota; Viridiplantae; Streptophyta; Magnoliopsida; Fabales; Fabaceae
Exons: 3
Source: RefSeq, a predicted model, not a curated record